CGGACUUUGUGAGGUUUAGUAGGUUGUAGAAGGACAUUGUUAUCCAUUACUGAGGCUGACAACCAGUUAUGCUGUGUUUUGGCAUAUUGAAAUCGACAAGAGUGACUCCCCUCAUCCGCUCCAUCUACAACUUCCUGUAAGGGAGAUCACAUUCUCCGAAACAGUGCUGAUCCAGUUCAACUUUUCCCGAGGAGGCUGCAGGGUCAUCCAUUGUUUUGAAAGGUGUCACUUGACUGUCAGCUCUCCAUCCAGCCCUGCAUGGCAGUCAAGAAAAGAACCUCCUGAACCAUUCCUGCUUAACUCACCUCCACUGGACCUUUCACAUUUUUUUCCAUCUCAACAUCAAACAUAGUGAACGAUACUCUAAAAUUUAUAUAUAAAUUGCCCAGCCAUACGUCAGCCCAAACUUACUUUUCCUGACACAUUUAAGGUGAAUGACACCAAGAUAUGGCAGUUGAAGAAAAACAAAUGUAGAGUAUGUGAUAACAGGACAUGCAAAUCAUCAAUUAUCAACAGUGUUAUUUUUGUGGUGGUUAAGUCUAGAUUGAUCGUGCUAGUAACGUUAACUAGCAAGUUGUUCGUUAAGGGCUGACGGCUGGUUAACGUUACGGACAAAAACUAUUUGUUCCGCGUAUUCUCUUGUGUGUAUCACGUAUCCGUCUCCUCUAGCUGUUGUGGUUGAUAUGAUGUAGCUUUGACCAGACACAAAAAUGGUGACAGCAAAGCACUGUGAUGUCACGUGGUCCUUUAAAUAUAAUUAUAAAUAUAAAAAUAUAAAUAUAUACCAGAAACUAUGCACAAAGGACUACUUGCACCCUCGUGCUGCUGAAUUUUUGAUGUUAUUUAAUAAAUGUCAUGUUUUAUAUC
Molecule: long non-coding RNA, 867 nt
Organism: Perca fluviatilis (European perch)
Lineage: Eukaryota; Metazoa; Chordata; Actinopteri; Perciformes; Percidae
Exons: 2
Source: RefSeq, a predicted model, not a curated record